Long non-coding RNA from Vombatus ursinus (common wombat), 746 nucleotides. NCBI's taxonomy places the organism in Eukaryota, Metazoa, Chordata, Mammalia, Diprotodontia, Vombatidae. The record is from Ensembl.
CAGCUGCUCUCUGUAGCUGCCUUCUGCCUCUCCUUCCUGCAGGGCGCUUGGGCUCACAGGCACCCUCCCAGACCUAGCUCAGUUUCCUCUGAGUUGCCAAGACAGUCAUGGGAUGUACCCUGCACCUUCCAGAUGCUGGUGAAGAAGUCCCAAGGCGGGAUUGAGAAGGUAGGGCCUCAUCUCUGAUCAGCUGAAAAUCUGGGCCUCACUCUGGCCAACAAACCUAAGAAUGGAAAGUUUCUUUAAUUAAAGAAGAUCCUCCAAAAGGUGAUUUGCAGGCUGAUCCUGUGCAAGGUGGUUCCUGUCCCCAGACCAUUGACUUGGUCAACCAGUGUCCACAGGUGGGUCCUCGAGGCAUCCAUGAAGAGGGCUCCACAUGGCCUUCCCUUGGAGUGAGGUUUAGUCUCAUCAGAUCUUCAGAAAGGACGUUGUGGCUGUUCCCAGCAGUGGGUGAACAUGGUUUCCCCCAGGCGCCCACAAAGAAGUCUCCAGCAAACAUCUGUUUGGGGCAGCUCUGUGCUCACCACCCCUUCCAAGAGGAGGCCCUGGGCCUGAGGUUACUGGCACCUGUCACACUGGUGAUCCGGAGCAGCCCCCAAAUGCUAGGAGUAGAGGAGAUGAAAACCUCAGCCACCCUCAUCCUUGGGACACUUGCUGAGACAAAUCACCUGUCCUUCUCCAUGGCUUGUCAUCCUGUAUCUCUGUAAUAGGCCUCCCGUUAAUUCUCAUCAAAUAAACCGAAAGGC